GACGAACGCUGGCGGCGUUGUUAACACAUGCAAGUCGAGCGAUGAAGUUUCUUCGGAAAUGGAUUAGCGGUGAACGGGUGAGGAACACGUGAAGAAUCUGCCCUCCACUUUGGGAUAACACCGGGAAACCGGUGCUAAUACCGAAUAUUGAAACAUAAGUGGCAUCACUGAGUUUUGAAAGAAUUUCGGUGGAGGAUGACUUCGCGGCCUAUCAGCUAGUUGGUGAGGUAAUGGCUCACCAAGGCAACGACGGGUAGCCGGCCUGAGAGGGCGACCGGCCACACUGGGACUGAGACACGGCCCAGACUCGUACGGGAGGCAGCAGUGGGGAAUAUUGGGCAAUGGAGGAAACUCUGACCCAGCGACGCCGCGUGCGGGAUGAAGGCCUUCGGGUUGUAAACCGCUUUCAGUAGGGAAGAAGCGAAAGUGACGGUACCUACAAAAGAAGCACCGGCUAACUAUGUGCCAGCAGCCGCGGUAAUACAUAGGGUGCAAGCGUUGUCCGGAAUUAUUGGGCGUAAAGAGCUCGUAGGUCGUUUGUUACGUCGGAUGUGAAAACCUGAGGCUCAACCUCAGGCCUGCAUUCGAUACGGGCAAACUAGAGUUUGGUAGGGGAGACUGGAAUUCCUGGUGUAGCGGUGGAAUGCGCAGAUAUCAGGAGGAACACCAAUGGCGAAGG
This 679-nucleotide ribosomal RNA is filed under the name Candidatus Nanopelagicus sp. Its description in RNAcentral is "bacterial SSU rRNA". It matches the Rfam family "Bacterial small subunit ribosomal RNA", at positions 28 to 721 of the family's 1533-position model. The record is from RNAcentral. Lineage: Bacteria; Bacillati; Actinomycetota; Actinomycetes; Candidatus Nanopelagicales; Candidatus Nanopelagicaceae.